UACGACUACAUAUCAGGCAUAUCAAUAAGCGGAGGAAAAGAAACUAACAAGGAUUCCCUUAGUAACGGCGAGUGAAGCGGGAAGAGCUCAAAUUUGAAAUCUUCAAGGUUUUACCUCGACGAAUUGUAGUUUAAAGAAGUGUUUUCUGUUGAAGUUUUGGUAAAAGUUCUUUGGAAUAGGACAUCAUAGAGGGUGAGAAUCCCGUAUUUGACCAUUAUUUUCAGCUGUGUGAUACACUUUCAAGGAGUCGGAUUGUUUGGGAAUGCAGUCCAAAAUGGGUGGUAAAUUUCAUCUAAAGCUAAAUAUUGGCGAGAGACCGAUAGCGAACAAGUACCGUGAGGGAAAGAUGAAAAGGACUUUGAAAAGAGAGUUAAACAGUACGUGAAAUUGUCAAAAGGGAAGCGUUUGACACCAGUGUUGUUUUCUCGAAAAUCAAUUAAAAAAAGUUGGAUUUUGUGUUGUAUUGACCUUAACAGCUUGCUUCACUCUUUUCAGCUUUUUUUAAUGCACUUUUCGUUUAACAAGUCAACAUCAGUUUCUUUUGUUGUAAAAGGGUCAUUGGAAGGUGGCUUUCUCUUCGGAGAAAGUGUUUAUAGCCUUUGAUCUCUGCAAUCGGAGAGACUGAGGUCUGCAGCGUAGAUCCUUCGGGGUUAGAUACAUUUGUGCUAAGCUACUAGCUUUCAUAGACAACUUGUUGACUAUGAUUAGUCAUUGUAGACUUACCUCGCUUAUGCUAUUUUACCUACGCUUAGGAUGUUGAGCGCAUGUCUCUCUCU
Molecule: ribosomal RNA, 776 nt
Filed under: uncultured Neocallimastigales
Lineage: Eukaryota; Fungi; Neocallimastigomycota; Neocallimastigomycetes; Neocallimastigales
Description: partial large subunit ribosomal RNA
Rfam family: Eukaryotic large subunit ribosomal RNA
Source: RNAcentral